ACUUGGUGAUGUGGACAUUUUCAGAGCAAGUCCCUUAAGUGUUCCCAAGUCUCGAAAAAGAGUUCCCCAUAAUUUUGUGAGAAACUUGUGAUGGCUCUUCGAAGUU
Small nucleolar RNA from Malania oleifera, 106 nucleotides. The record is from RefSeq and is a predicted model, not a curated record. Lineage: Eukaryota; Viridiplantae; Streptophyta; Magnoliopsida; Santalales; Ximeniaceae.